Molecule: ribosomal RNA, 492 nt
Filed under: uncultured bacterium
Lineage: Bacteria
Description: partial 16S ribosomal RNA
Rfam family: Bacterial small subunit ribosomal RNA
Source: RNAcentral
AGUGAACGCUGGCGGUAGGCCUAACACAUGCAAGUCGAACGGCAGCACAGUAAGAGCUUGCUCUUACGGGUGGCGAGUGGCGGACGGGUGAGGAAUACAUCGGAAUCUACUUUUUCGUGGGGGAUAACGUAGGGAAACUUACGCUAAUACCGCAUACGACCUACGGGUGAAAGCAGGGGAUCUUCGGACCUUGCGCGAUUGAAUGAGCCGAUGUCGGAUUAGCUAGUUGGCGGGGUAAAGGCCCACCAAGGCGACGAUCCGUAGCUGGUCUGAGAGGAUGAUCAGCCACACGGGAACUGAGACACGGUCCAGACUCCUACGGGAGGCAGCAGUGGGGAAUAUUGGACAAUGGGCGCAAGCCUGAUCCAGCCAUACCGGGUGGGUGAAGAAGGCCUUCGGGUUGUAAAGCCCUUUUGUUGGGAAAGAAAAGCAGCAGGUUAAUACCCCGCUGUUCUGACGGUACCCAAAGAAUAAGCACCGGCUAACUUCGUG